AGCUACACCGGAUGAAGAGGAAAUUGAUGACACUCUUACACUUGGCUGGGACAGUGAUCUUUCAUCCAUUAUCCUCCUCCUCCACCUGAUACCUCCUUCAGCCCAAGGCCGGAGAAGACCAGGCAAGGUGUCAGCAGCCCAAGCUGAGAAACAACUUGUCGUGUUCAAGAAGAGUGGAACAAGUAUUCAAGAACAUGUUGAUGCAAUCAAAUGCACCACUAAACCGUAUCUUCUUGCUGUUGGGAUGAAGAGGAGCACCAUCCAUGAGUUCUUCAUUAUUCUGGACAAGCAGGUCAUACCGUGCAAGUCAUCCAGUACCCUAGGAGCUUUUGACGAACUCUUUAAAGCACACUUUGUAUUUGGUACCAUGUACAACCAGAUGCUCCACAACAUGUUCACCUUCAUUCAGACAACCAUUUACAACAUAGAUAUUGGUCAAGUCCGGGAGAACCCACGUGUUGCUGAGGUUAGGGCCAGGCUGCUGCACUAGUUAAUAGAUGACUCCAGGUUGGCAACAUAUUUGUCACUUUUCACUAAAAGCUCUUCUAUCUGUAUUUUGAGUGAUUUUCCCAUGUCACUCAGUCUUAAUUGAUAUCAUGGGCCUGAUUUGUUUUGUUUGCCACUCUCAUUUUGUGGGAACCAAUGCCCUUGUGAGGCAUUUGCGGUUGAUUCAUGGUUUAUAUCCAGGUAAAUCACUUCGCCUAAAAUGUGCUCAGGGAGGAUGUUGUCGUGUUCUUAGUUCCUUUUCAGGUUUCAGGAAACAUUUAAACUGUAAACAUGCUGAGAACAUUGAGAAUGAAGCUGAAACUGAUAACAUUGUAGACAGUUAUGAUGCAACAGAUGAU
This is a long non-coding RNA of Fundulus heteroclitus (mummichog), 845 nucleotides long. RefSeq lists it as uncharacterized. The record is from RefSeq and is a predicted model, not a curated record. Lineage: Eukaryota; Metazoa; Chordata; Actinopteri; Cyprinodontiformes; Fundulidae. The transcript is spliced from 3 exons.